AAAUAAGAAGCGAUAUCCCGCUCCCAGUUUCGGCCUGGAAUUAGAUAAUUAUUUAUCCUUAUUUU
This 65-nucleotide transfer RNA is filed under the name Tarragoilus diuturnus. RNAcentral describes it as "tRNA-Arg". The record is from RNAcentral. Lineage: Eukaryota; Metazoa; Arthropoda; Insecta; Orthoptera; Prophalangopsidae.